AGUGAACGCUGGCGAUAGGCCUAACACAUGCAAGUCGAACGGCAGCACAGUAAGAGCUUGCUCUUACGGGUGGCGAGUGGCGGACGGGUGAGGAAUACAUCGGAAUCUACUUUUUCGUGGGGGAUAACGUAGGGAAACUUACGCUAAUACCGCAUACGACCUACGGGUGAAAGCAGGGGAUCUUCGGACCUUGCGCGAUUGAAUGAGCCGAUGUCGGAUUAGCUAGUUGGCGGGGUAAAGGCCCACCAAGGCGACGAUCCGUAGCUGGUCUGAGAGGAUGAUCAGCCGCACUGGAACUGAGACACGGUCCAGACUCCUACGGGAGGCAGCAGUGGGGAAUAUUGGACAAUGGGCGCAAGCCUGAUCCAGCCGUACCGCGUGGGUGAAGAAGGCCUUCGGGUUGUAAAGCCCUUUUGUUGGGAAAGAAAAGCAGCAGGUUAAUACCCCGCUGUUCUGACGGUACCCAAAGAAUAAGCACCGGCUAACUUCGUG
Molecule: ribosomal RNA, 492 nt
Filed under: uncultured bacterium
Lineage: Bacteria
Description: partial 16S ribosomal RNA
Rfam family: Bacterial small subunit ribosomal RNA
Source: RNAcentral